Molecule: ribosomal RNA, 253 nt
Filed under: uncultured bacterium
Lineage: Bacteria
Description: partial 16S ribosomal RNA
Rfam family: Bacterial small subunit ribosomal RNA
Source: RNAcentral
GACAGAGGGUGCAAACGUUGUUCAGAAUUACUGGGCGUAAAGCGCGUGUAGGCGGCCCUGCAAGUCGGAUGUGAAAUCCCACGGCUCAACCAUGGAAGUGCAUUCGAAACUGCAGAGCUAGAGUCCUGGAGAGGAAGGUGGAAUGCUUGGUGUAGAGGUGAAAUUCGUAGAUAUCAAGCGGAACACCGGUGGCGAAGGCGGCCUUCUGGACAGUGACUGACGCUGAGACGCGAAAGCGUGGGGAGCAAACAGG